RNAcentral lists this ribosomal RNA (1462 nucleotides) under metagenome. Its description in RNAcentral is "bacterial SSU rRNA". It matches the Rfam family "Bacterial small subunit ribosomal RNA". The record is from RNAcentral.
AGAGUUUGAUCCUGGCUCAGAGCGAACGCUAGCGGCGGGCUUAACACAUGCAAGUCGAGCGGAGGGGCAACCCUUAGCGGCGAACGGGUGAGUAACGCGUAGGUAACGUGCCUUCAGGUGGGGAACAACCGUGGGAAACCAUGGCUAAUACCGCAUAAUGUCGAAAGAUGAAAGCCUUCGGGCGCCUGGAGAGCGGCCUGCGUCCCAUUACCUAGUUGGUAGGGUAACGGCCUACCAAGGGAACGAUGGGUAGCUGGUCUAAGAGGAUGAUCAGCCACACUGGAACUGAGACACGGUCCAGACUCCUACGGGAGGCAGCAGUGGGGAAUAUUGCGCAAUGGGGGAAACCCUGACGCAGCCACGCCGCGUGAGUGAAGAAGGCCUUCGGGUCGUAAAGCUCUGUCGGGAGAGACGAAGGGGUAAAACUCUGACGGUAUCUCGCAAGAAAGCACCGGCUAACUCUGUGCCAGCAGCCGCGGUAAUACAGAGGGUGCAAGCGUUGCUCGGAUUUACUGGGCGUAAGGCGUACGCAGACGGACCGUCAAGUCGGGAGUGAAAGCCCUGGGCUCAACCCAGGAACGGCUUUCGAUACUAGCGGUCUUGAGUUUGGGAGAGGGAAGCGGAAUUCCUGGUGUAGAGGUGAAAUUCGUAGAUAUCAGGAGGAACACCGGCGGCGAAGGCGGCUUCCUGGCCCAAUACUGACGUUCAGGUACGAAAGCGUGGGUAGCAAACAGGAUUAGAUACCCUGGUAGUCCACGCUGUAAACGAUGAGUGCUGGAUGUCGGAGGUAUUCACCCCUUCGGUAUCGAAGCUAACGCGUUAAGCACUCCGCCUGGGGAGUACGGCCGCAAGGUUGAAACUCAAAGGAAUUGACGGGGGCCCGCACAAGCGGUGGAGUAUGUGGUUUAAUUCGACCACGCGCAGAACCUUACCCAGCCUUGACAUCCUUGGAACCGAGUGGAAACACUUGGGUGCUCUCGCAAGAGAGAGCCAGGAGACAGGUGCUGCAUGGCUGUCGUCAGCUCGUGUCGUGAGAUGUUCGGUUAAGUCCGGCAACGAGCGCAACCCCUGUCUUCAGUUGCCAUCAUUCAGUUGGGCACUCUGGAGAGACUGCCGGCGUCAAGCCGGAGGAAGGUGGGGAUGACGUCAAGUCCUCAUGGCCUUUAUGGUUGGGGCUACACACGUACUACAAUGAUGACUACAAAGGGCAGCCAACCCGCGAGGGGGAGCAAAUCCCAAAAAAGUCAUCUCAGUUCGGAUUGCAGUCUGCAACUCGACUGCAUGAAGUCGGAAUCGCUAGUAAUCGCGGAUCAGCAUGUCGCGGUGAAUACGUUCCCGGGCCUUGUACACACCGCCCGUCACACCACGAAAGUUGGAUGGACCCGAAGUCGCUGCUCCGACCCGCAAGGGGGGAAGGCGCCAACGGUCUGUUCGAUGAUUGGGGUGAAGUCGUAACAAGGUA